UCUGCGGAAGUAGUUCAGUGGUAGAACACCACCUUGCCAAGGUGGGGGUCGCGGGUUCGAAUCCNNUGCGGAA
This 73-nucleotide transfer RNA is filed under the name Bacillus subtilis. Its description in RNAcentral is "tRNA-Gly". The stretch from base 11 to 67 matches the Rfam family "tRNA", at positions 8 to 63 of the family's 71-position model. Rfam says of the family: Transfer RNA (tRNA) molecules are approximately 80 nucleotides in length. Lineage: Bacteria; Bacillati; Bacillota; Bacilli; Caryophanales; Bacillaceae. The record is from RNAcentral.